AUGCGGCAACUCCAUCAGGCGUAUAAUCUCCCUUGGCUACUAAUAGGCGAUCUGAACGAAAUACAGUUCUUGCAUGAUAAAGAAGGAGGGAAUCCUAGACCUCCCCAAUAUAUGCGUGCAUUCCAGGAUGCCAUUGAUGGCUGUGAAUUACAUGACAUAGGCUUCAUUGGUGACCGGUUCACUUGGUACAGGGGAAGAAUAAAAGAAAGACUAGACCGUGGGCUAGUGAAUGAUGCUUGGAUUAAUAUGUUCCCCCAAGCUGCACUGGAAAACUUGGAGUUCAAUCAUUCAGAUCAUCGCCCUCUGCUAGUGGAUUCAGAAUACCACAGUGGGGCAGCCCGAUCAAGUAACAAUGCUGAACCGAAGAGAUUUGAGGCUCGUUGGCUGCGUGAGGAGAGUUUUAAUGACACUGUUGAGAAAGCUUGGACUGAUAUCGGGUCAGACCCAUCAAUCAGCAAUAUAUAUGAUAAACUAAACAAGAUGCACGCCCUAUUUCAUGACUGGGAGGGUCCUCAAGAAACCAAAGAAGCGGCUCCGGAAAGCGCAAAAAGACCUUGA
Molecule: ribosomal RNA, 558 nt
Filed under: Triticum aestivum (bread wheat)
Lineage: Eukaryota; Viridiplantae; Streptophyta; Magnoliopsida; Poales; Poaceae
Description: partial small subunit ribosomal RNA
Source: RNAcentral